RNAcentral lists this ribosomal RNA (765 nucleotides) under uncultured Bacillota bacterium. RNAcentral describes it as "bacterial SSU rRNA". It matches the Rfam family "Bacterial small subunit ribosomal RNA", at positions 567 to 1337 of the family's 1533-position model. The record is from RNAcentral. Lineage: Bacteria; Bacillati; Bacillota.
GAGCGCACGCGGACCGGCAAGUUGGAAGUGAAAUCUAUGGGCUCAACCCAUAAAUUGCUUUCAAAACUGCUGGCCUUGAGUAGUGCAGAGGUAGGUGGAAUUCCCGGUGUAGCGGUGGAAUGCGUAGAUAUCGGGAGGAACACCAGUGGCGAAAGCGACCUACUGGGCACCAACUGACGCUGAAGCUCGAAAGCAUGGGUAGCAAACAGGAUUAGAUACCCUGUUAGUCCAUGCCGUAAACGAUGAUUACUAGGUUUUGGAGGAUUGACCCCUUCAGUGCCGCAGUUAACACAAUAAGUAAUCCACCUGGGGAGUACGACCGCAAGUUUGAAACUCAAAGGAAUUGACGGGGGCCCGCACACGCAGUGGAGUAUGUGGUUUAAUUCGAAGCAACGCGAAGAACCUUACCAGGUCUUGACAUCCGAUGCAUAGUGCAGAGAUGCAUGAAGUCCUUCGGGACAUCGAGACAGGUUGGUGCAUGUUUUUCGUCAGCUCGUGUCGUGAGAUGUUGGGUUAAGUCCCGCAACGAGCGCAACCCUUAUUGCCAGUUACUACGCAAGAGGACUCUGGCGAGACUGCCGUUGACAAAACGGAGGAAGGUGGGGAUGAGGUCAAAUCAUCAUGCCCUUUAUGACUUGGGAUACACACGUACUACAAUGGCGUUUAACAAAGAGAAGCAAGACCGCGAGGUGGAGCAAAACUCAAAAACAACGUCUCAGUUCAGAUUGCAGGCUGCAACUCGCCUGCAUGAAGUCGGAAUUGCUA